Molecule: unclassified non-coding RNA, 206 nt
Filed under: Hevea brasiliensis (rubber tree)
Lineage: Eukaryota; Viridiplantae; Streptophyta; Magnoliopsida; Malpighiales; Euphorbiaceae
Source: RNAcentral
GGUCUAUAAAAUUCUCUGUUUGCAGAACUGUCAUUUCAGAUGAUAGCUAUGGCUUUUUUAAGUUUGGGCCAUAUUACUGCAUUCCAUUUGUUUGUUUGUAUAUCAAUGUGAGUUGCACAGAACCUGAAUUUGAUCUGGAAUUAUAUGUUCAAUACUUCAACAUGUUUUCAGUUUCUCUUUUAAGGUGAGAUGAGAUGGUAAUUGAU